AUGAGCAGCAGAGCGCAGCAGGGCGAGAAGGGCUCCGAGUCAGCCGCCCGCACGAGGCCUCUGAGCAUCCAUGAGAUCUUGCUGCGGCGGGAGAAGAAGGCCCUCGCAGAGGCUAAGAAGGCCGCCGCGGAAGCUAAGAAGGCCAGGGAAGAGCUCCAGGGCAAUGAUAAGGGUAAACCUAACCACUCGGAGCCGGGAAGAGGGCACAAGAGCACAAAGGAUCUCGAGGAUGUGCCUGUGGAGGGUUCCAAAAAGGAGAGCGUUAGAGAUGCGACAAGGGAGGACUCCAAGAAGGAUGAUGUGCGACGUGCGUCUAAGGAGGGUUCCAGAAAGGAGAGCAUUAGAGAUGCACCCUCCAAGAAGGAUGAUGCGAGGCAUGCAUCUAAGGAGGGUUCCAAAAAGGAGAGCAUUAGAGACGCACCAAAGGAGGUCUCCAAGAAGGAAAACUUGAAAGAGAGGCCAAAAGAUGGCUCCGAGGUGGAUGAAUUGAAAGAUACACCAAAGGUUCCAAGGAAGGAUGACCACAGAGAUGCACCAAACAAGGGCUCCAAGAAAGAGAGGUCCUCUGUAAGAGAUGAUAGUCAGUCAGCUGGCAAAGACAAAGAUGCUCAUGAUCCGCAUAAACAUAGCACAAGCAUGAGAGGCCGGCCUGCUGAAAGCAAGGAUGGAAACCAUGGUGAAAUCAGAGCAAGAAAUGGUGAUGUGACAAGAUCUGAGUCUCUAAAGGGACCGGGGAAGAGAUGGAAUGGCGAACCUGUUCAUAAUGAUAGAAUCAUGGAGAGGAGCGACAAGCUCCGGAAUGAAGCAAAAAGGAAAAUCCAUAGUUUUGAUGAGGAAAAGCCUUCAUAUGUUGAUCGACCGGUGCUGAAGAAACAUGAUUCCGCGCGAUUCCGAGUUUCCAAACACUAUGACAUAAAUGAUGCAAGGAGAGAGUACGGAAAACCAUACCGUGAAGAGCCCAGGUCAAAAAGGAGAAGGUCAAGAAGCAGGGAUCAUGAUCAAGGAAGACGUGACAGAUCUCUCUCACUAUCCCCAAGGGAACAAAGGCGUAGCUACCAUGGAAAUGAUCAUGACAAUUAUCCUCCUGGAAGGAAGUAUGCUGAAAAUGACAGGUACAGAACAUCUGAUAAUUUGGACAAGGUGGUGGGUCGUACCAGAGAUAUGAAAGUCGGCUUGGUGGCUACUCACCAAGGAAAAGGAAAACAGUACCACAAGACGAACAAUUGA
RNAcentral lists this ribosomal RNA (1227 nucleotides) under Triticum aestivum (bread wheat). Its description in RNAcentral is "partial small subunit ribosomal RNA". Lineage: Eukaryota; Viridiplantae; Streptophyta; Magnoliopsida; Poales; Poaceae. The record is from RNAcentral.